GACGAACCGUGCGAACGUUGUUCGGAAUCACUGGGCUUAAAGGGCGCGUAGGCGGUCUGUCAAGUCUGGGGUGAAAUGCCACGGCUCAACCGUGGAACUGCCUCAGAUACUGACGGCCUCGAGGAAGGUAGGGGCAUGCGGAACUGUAGGUGGAGCGGUGAAAUGCGUUGAUAUCUACAGGAACACCGGUGGCGAAAGCGGCGUGCUGGACCUUUUCUGACGCUGAGGCGCGAAAGCCAGGGGAGCAAACGGG
RNAcentral lists this ribosomal RNA (253 nucleotides) under uncultured bacterium. RNAcentral's name for it is "partial 16S ribosomal RNA". It matches the Rfam family "Bacterial small subunit ribosomal RNA", at positions 524 to 776 of the family's 1533-position model. The record is from RNAcentral.